AUGUGGAAUUCGCCCUUCUUGGUCAUUUAGAGGAAGUAAAAGUCGUAACAAGGUUUCCGUAGGUGAACCUGCGGAAGGAUCAUUAUUGAAUUAAAUCUUGGCAAUGGGUUGUAGCUGGCCUCUCGGGGCAUGUGCUCGCUCUUGUCAUCUUUUAUAUUUCCACCUGUGCACUUUCUGUAGAUGUCGAGGGGGUUAAUAAGUGGGGAUGGAGAGGGGUGUAAACCUUUCUACGUUCAUACUUUCCCUUUGGCAUUUAUUUUAUUACAUACCCCAUACAAAUGUAAAAGAAUGAUUGAUAUUGGAAUAAAGUUUAUACAACUUUCAGCAACGGAUCUCUUGGCUCUCGCAUCGAUGAAGAACGCAGCGAAAUGCGAUAAGUAAUGUGAAUUGCAGAAUUCAGUGAAUCAUCGAAUCUUUGAACGCACCUUGCGCUCCUUGGUAUUCCGAGGAGCAUGCCUGUUCGAGUGUCAUUAAAUUCUCAACCUUGAAACGGCUUUUGUUGUAUUCAGGUGUUGGACUUGGGAGCUUUUGUUGGCUAUAACUAGUCGACUCUCCUUAAAUGUAUUAGCUGGUGAAGACUUGCAUUCUUGGGUGUGAUAAUUAUCUACGCCAAAGGGAUUGCUUUUCUAAGUCACUGCUUCUAAUAGUCCUUUAUUGGACAAACUUAUUUUUGACUUGGCCUCGAAUCAGGUAGGACUACCCGCUGAACUUAAGCAUAUCAAUAAGCGGAGGAAAAGAAACUAACAAGGAUUCCCCUAGUAACUGCGAGUGAAGCGGGAAAAGCUCAAAUUUAAAAUCUGGCAGUCUCUGAUUGUCCGAGUUGUAAUCUAGAGAAGCAUUAUCCGCGCUGGACCGUGUACAAGUCUCCUGAAGGGCGAAUUC
RNAcentral lists this ribosomal RNA (882 nucleotides) under uncultured fungus. RNAcentral describes it as "eukaryotic LSU rRNA". The stretch from base 317 to 470 matches the Rfam family "5.8S ribosomal RNA". Lineage: Eukaryota; Fungi. The record is from RNAcentral.